GAUCAUGGCUCAGGAUGAACGCUAGCUACAGGCUUAACACAUGCAAGUCGAGGGGCAUCAGUUUGGUUUGCUUGCAAACCAAAGCUGGCGACCGGCGCACGGGUGAGUAACACGUAUCCAACCUGCCUCAUACUCGGGGAUAGCCUUUCGAAAGAAAGAUUAAUAUCCGAUAGCAUAUAUUUCCCGCAUGGGUUUUAGUUAUUAAAGAAAUUACGGUAUGAGAUGGGGAGUGCGUUCCAUUAGUUUG
Molecule: ribosomal RNA, 247 nt
Filed under: uncultured bacterium
Lineage: Bacteria
Description: partial 16S ribosomal RNA
Rfam family: Bacterial small subunit ribosomal RNA
Source: RNAcentral